GACGAACGCUGGCGGCGUGCUUAACACAUGCCAGUCGAACGGUGAAGCGCCUUCCUUUUUGGUGGGUGUGGAUGAGUGGCGAACGGGUGAGUAACACGUGAGUAACCUGCCCCCUUCUUCUGGAUAACCGCAUGAAAGUGUGGCUAAUACGGGAUAUUCUGGGUCUGUCGCAUGAUGGGUCUGGGAAAGAUAUUGUUUCGGUGGGGGAUGGGCUCGCGGCCUAUCAGCUUGUUGGUGGGGUGAUGGCCUACCAAGGCGGUGACGGGUAGCCGGCCUGAGAGGGUGGACGGUCACACUGGGACUGAGACACGGCCCAGACUCCUACGGGAGGCAGCAGGGGGGAAUAUUGCACAAUGGGCGCAAGCCUGAUGCAGCGACGCCGCGGGAGGGAUGGAGGCCUUCGGGUUGUGAACCUCUUUCGCCAGUGAAGCAGGCCUGCCUCGUUUGUGGGUGGGUUGACGGUAGCUGGAGAAGAAGCGCCGGCUAACUACGUG
RNAcentral lists this ribosomal RNA (494 nucleotides) under uncultured bacterium. Its description in RNAcentral is "partial 16S ribosomal RNA". It matches the Rfam family "Bacterial small subunit ribosomal RNA", at positions 28 to 507 of the family's 1533-position model. The record is from RNAcentral.